UAUGUGGGGACAGCCACAGUUUGGUUCCAUCACUUCUCAGAAUGGACAUUUCUUUUUCGGACAUUUAGACAG
Molecule: long non-coding RNA, 72 nt
Filed under: Oryctolagus cuniculus (rabbit)
Lineage: Eukaryota; Metazoa; Chordata; Mammalia; Lagomorpha; Leporidae
Description: lncRNA (ENSOCUG00000038904.1)
Source: RNAcentral